UACAGAGGUCCCAAGCGUUGUUCGGAUUCAUUGGGCGUAAAGGGUGCGUAGGCGGCGCGGUAAGUCGGGUGUGAAAUCUCGGAGCUUAACUCCGAAACUGCAUUCGAUACUGCUGUGCUUGAGGACUGGAGAGGAGACUGGAAUUUACGGUGUAGCGGUGAAAUGCGUAGAUAUCGUAAGGAAGACCAGUGGCGAAGGCGGGUCUCUGGACAGUUCCUGACGCUGAGGCACGAAGGCCAGGGGAGCAAACGGG
Molecule: ribosomal RNA, 253 nt
Filed under: uncultured bacterium
Lineage: Bacteria
Description: partial 16S ribosomal RNA
Rfam family: Bacterial small subunit ribosomal RNA
Source: RNAcentral